Molecule: ribosomal RNA, 484 nt
Filed under: uncultured bacterium
Lineage: Bacteria
Description: partial 16S ribosomal RNA
Rfam family: Bacterial small subunit ribosomal RNA
Source: RNAcentral
AUUGAACGCCGGCGGCAGGCCUAACACAUGCAAGUCGAGCGGAUGAAGGGAGCUUGCUCCUGGAUUCAGCGGCGGACGGGUGAGUAAUGCCUAGGAAUCUGCCUGGUAGUGGGGGAUAACGUCCGGAAACGGGCGCUAAUACCGCAUACGUCCUGAGGGAGAAAGUGGGGGAUCUUCGGACCUCACGCUAUCAGAUGAGCCUAGGUCGGAUUAGCUAGUUGGUGGGGUAAAGGCCUACCAAGGCGACGAUCCGUAACUGGUCUGAGAGGAUGAUAAGUCACAGUGGAACUGAGACACGGUCCAGACACAGACGGGAGGAAGCAGUGGGUAAUAUUCGAGAAGGGGCUAAAGUCUGAUCCCGACAUGACGCGGGUGGGAAGAAGGGCUUCUGAUAGUAAAGCAAUUUAAGUUGAGAGGAAGAGCAGUAAGUGAAUACCUUGCUGUUAGGACGUGACCAACAAAAUAAGAACCGGAUAACUUCGUG